AAAUCUUAUCUGAUUCAGGAUCAAUUUAUCGGUUACACUCCCCUAUCACCAGUGAUUCUUUGUGAACUGACAUUCUGAAAAAGGGCAAGAACAUUAAAGAUAAAGGGAAACUAUAAACAAAAGAAAUUAUCAACAAAAAUAGAUUUACAGACGUCAACAAAGCCUAAAUGGUCAGACAUCUUGGUUUUCAUGAUCAUCAUUCAACAGGUCAAUACUGAACAGCAAACUUAAAGUUGAUAUUUUUCUACAUAGUGUGACUUUUUUAUUAAUUUGAAAUGGAAUGUGUUUUUUUCCUACAUAAGAAAGAGGAAAUUUCAACAUAAUUACUAUAAACAAAAAGGAGUCAUAUCAUCAUGAUCAUAGAUGCUCAAGAACCUAAUCAUGUAAAUGCAACAACGUAAUUAUCAAUUGAAAGAAGGGAGGAAUGAAAAAAUAUAUUAGUAUUUUGUUGUCCAAAUGAACUUGCUUUGUCCACUCAUUUAAAUCGCUCCAUCCAAUCAAGAAAUGUACGGAGGAAGAUUUUUGAAGAACAGAUUGCAUAAAUGUUUUGUCUUAGAAUUGUAGGAAUAUUCUAGUGGAUGAAAUAAUUUAUUUACUUGACUCUUAUAUAGUGGACUGAAUAAUUGUUCAUAGCAAGCUGAAACAAGAAAACUAAAACUUAACAGGAAAAGUGUUUAUUUUAUAAAUUUACAAAUAUAAAUGUAAUAUUAUGAACACCACAAAGGAAUAAGAUUCAAAUCAUUUGCAUAUUCAUGUAUUGCAAUGGAACUAUAACAAAGAAAACUUUACCUCAUGAAAAGAGUAAACUAUUAACUGUGCUUUGUCAAUUUAUUCAGUCAGAAUAUGAAAUAUUUUUUUCAGUUCUAUUUUUCAUAAUAAAACAAAGAAGACAAAGAU
Molecule: long non-coding RNA, 897 nt
Organism: Mytilus californianus (California mussel)
Lineage: Eukaryota; Metazoa; Mollusca; Bivalvia; Mytilida; Mytilidae
Exons: 3
Source: RefSeq, a predicted model, not a curated record